CGGAGGAUCCAAGCGUUAUCCGGAUUUAUUGGGUUUAAAGGGUGCGUAGGUGGAUCUUUAAGUCAGUGGUGAAAGCCUAGAGCUUAACUCUAGAACUGCCAUUGAUACUGAAGAUCUUGAGUGCAGUUGAGGCGGGCGGAAUGUGUCAUGUAGCGGUGAAAUGCUUAGAUAUGACACAGAACACCGAUUGCGAAGGCAGCUCGCUAAACUGUAACUGACACUGAGGCACGAAAGCGUGGGGAGCAAACAGGAUUAGAUACCCUGGUAGUCCACGCCCUAAACGAUGAUUACUCGAUGUGUGCGAUAUACUGUACGCGUCUAAGCGAAAGCAUUAAGUAAUCCACCUGGGGAGUACGGUCGCAAGAUUG
Molecule: ribosomal RNA, 368 nt
Filed under: uncultured organism
Description: bacterial SSU rRNA
Rfam family: Bacterial small subunit ribosomal RNA
Source: RNAcentral